This 253-nucleotide ribosomal RNA is filed under the name uncultured bacterium. Its description in RNAcentral is "partial 16S ribosomal RNA". It matches the Rfam family "Bacterial small subunit ribosomal RNA", at positions 524 to 776 of the family's 1533-position model. The record is from RNAcentral.
UACGAAGGGGGCUAGCGUUGCUCGGAAUCACUGGGCGUAAAGGGUGCGUAGGCGGGUCUUUAAGUCAGGGGUGAAAUCCUGGAGCUCAACUCCAGAACUGCCUUUGAUACUGAAGAUCUUGAGUUCGGGAGAGGUGAGUGGAACUGCGAGUGUAGAGGUGAAAUUCGUAGAUAUUCGCAAGAACACCAGUGGCGAAGGCGGCUCACUGGCCCAUAACUGACGCUGAGGCACGAAAGCGUGGGGAGCGAACCGG